Molecule: long non-coding RNA, 7750 nt
Filed under: Brassica napus (rape)
Lineage: Eukaryota; Viridiplantae; Streptophyta; Magnoliopsida; Brassicales; Brassicaceae
Description: long non-coding RNA (BNAP_LNC008665)
Source: RNAcentral
CCGAGCUAAGAACAGACCGAAAGUCACCGCUGGGUUUAUGUGUCCACCAGAGAUUCCGGCAGUGCAGUAGACGAGGGCAAAGAUCAUGCCACCGAAAGCCCAAGCUAUGCCUUGGAUUCCAACGGAGGCACACAUGUUUGGUGCUCUCUUCACUCCCAUCACUGUCAAUACUGUGAUGUAAAGGAAGAGGAAGGUAGCUAUGAACUCUGCUAUACCGGCUCUCCAGAACGACCACGAGCUCAGCUCCCCUGGCUCGAACAGCGGCGCUGGUGGUGGCUCCUUGUAGUCCUUGUCCGUCUGAGCCGAUGUCCCGAUGGGCUGCCUCUCUGGGAACUUGUUCGCUCCCACUCUCACAUCCUCUUCUUUCCCUUCCAUUUUUUCUCUUUUCCCUCUCUUUCUAGAAGAACGUUAAAGUUAUGCGAUGGAUAGUGAGUGAAUGGCUGAGAAGGAGAGAAAGGGUGUGGUUUUAUAAAGAAGAGAGAGAAGACGGCCUAACGUCUCGAAAACACUAAUUUCUUCUUCUUCUUUUUCUUUUCUUUUUUUCUUUUAGUGAAAGAAGAAACAUACAGGGAAUCAUUCCUGGAUAACGAUGAUCUUUAAACUGUUUUUAAUUCACGACAUUAGCUGUUGUGAUAGGGACAUUAUGGCUUUUAAUCAUGUAACAAAACCCCACGCUACUGUUUUUAUAUUCUGAAACUCCAAAACACCACUAGCAUGUUUUGUGAGCUGAUUUAUCAUUUUUUUCUAACUUAUAAUGACCGGCAAUUGUUAAUUCAUUUUUGUAAUGAACCGAAGCAGCUUAAGCAACCCUUUAAGCUACCUGGUUAAAGGUGCUCUUAGUUUCGUGAAUCGUAAUUGUGAAGCACAACUUAACUAUUAUAGUAUUAUCGUAUAGGUUAAAUUAUAAGCAAUCAUGCAGACGAUUGGUCCUCUGAGCUGUCUUUAUUUCUUGAUGGUUUUACCAACGAAGAAAGCGGGACCUAAUUUAUCUUCUCUUACAGACCUAAGCUCACUGUUAAAAUGUAAAAUGUUUUGGCAGAAAUAAGCUGUAAAAGUGGAAUAGUAACUUUUGACUAGCACGACGAUAUAAAAUUUACUUCCGACCGUUGGAGAAAGAAAGGGAAGAUUUGUGUGGAAGGAAAGUGACUGCUUUAUGUAGAAAGCACAGUCGUCUGGACUAUUGUGCCAGGCCUCGAAUAAAGUUUAGCCAGGUAUUAUUACCUGUACUAACGACAAAAUAAUAUAAUUUGUAAAUCAGAUGUUCUUUUAUUCAAAGCUCAUUAGUAGAUUAAAGGUCCUAGGGAAUGAAGAAAGAAAAAGGGUAGUAAGAAAAUUAAAGGGGUAGUGAGAAUAAAAUGUUAGGAAGUAGGGCAUUUUAGAUUAUUUUUUUGGUUAAUAAAAAAAAUAGAAGGGACAGAAGAAAGAGAAGAGGUAGUGAAAAAAUUAAGGGGUAUUGAAAAUAAAAUGUUAAGAAAUAGGAUGUUUUAGAUUAAUUUUUUGGUUAAUAGAAAGAAGAAAUAGAGUUAAUUAGUUAGGAAAAAGGAAGUGGGAUCCAGACAAGAGUAGUGCAAAAAUUAAGGGGUAGUGAGAAUAAAUUGUUAGGAAGUAGGGUGUUUUAGAUUAGUUUUUUGGUUAAUAUAAAAAAAAGAAGAGUUAAUUAGUUUUCCUAUUUAAAGAGGUAGAGAGCACAUAUGUAAAGAUUGAACAGCUCAGAAAUGUAUUUUGCUUUUCUGUGAUCACAUGAUGCUUCUCUACUCCCACUUUCUUUCUUUAUCUCUUUUUUGUUAAAGUUCUUUAUUUUUCGCUUCUCAGUCCUUUUUUGUUUGUUUGUUUGUCAACUGUUACUGAUUUAUAUAGUAAUAACUAGGGUCGGCCCGCCCUACGGGCGGGACUUUUAUUAUACUUUUUAAUAUUUGUUUAAAUUUUUAAAUGUUUAGUUUAAUAAUAUAUAUUAAUCAUUAAUAUUAUUUAUGUAGUUUUUGUGUUAAUAUUCAGCUUCCCUUUUUUUCUUGACUAACUUUUUUUAGGUUUCUUGAAAUUGUAUAAAUGAAACUAUAUUUUAUUUUUCUUACAUCGAUGCAUAUUUCUAAUAUAUUUUAAAAGUCUUUACGAUUUUAAAUAUAACUAAUAACUUUUCAUUAUGUUAACAAUUUUGAAUAUAACUAAUAAUUUAUAAAUACAAAAUAUUUUAAUUUCUCUUAAAAAUAAUAAUUAUGCUAUAAAAAUAUAUCUUUAUUUAUUAUAAUAAUGUAUAAAUAAUUUUAAAAUUUAUUUAUUAUUUACUUUUGUUAUUUUUAUUUAAAAAUAUAUGUUUACCUAAAUAAAAACAUUUUAUUAUGUCAUUAUUUUACAUUUUUCAAUACUGGUAGUGAGAUUUAACAUAUGAGUUUUUUUUUUAUGUUUUAUAUAUUAAUAUUUAUUUUAUUUCUUACUCUCUUUGAAAUCUAUUUCUAAUUAUGUAAAACAGUAAACUUUACCUAGUAUGGAUCCAAUCGGACUACUUGACCGGUUCAUGGUUGUACCAACUAUAAACGUUCUAGGAUCGAUCCGCGCUUAGCACAUAAUAUAACUUACGUAUGAUUUGUAUGACAAUUUUAUUGUGUAUUUUGAUUGCAUGUGUUUUGUGUCAGCAUUUGCAACAGAAAUGUAUUAGAAUGUUUAUAGUUGUUAAGAAUCUUUAGGUGUGGAGAGAUUAUGUAGAUUAAAUUUAUUACAUUUUAUUUUAAUGUUUGUGUUUAGAAGUCGUUGCGUAUAAUAUAUUAUUUUUGUGGAUAUAUUGUGUUACAUAUAUUUUUCAAAUUAAAAUACAACUAUUUUAAUCGAAUUUAACCAAAUCGAACUAAUUGUAUUCAUUGUAUUAGUGUGAGUAUUCAUCUUAAAUGUGUAAGUACACAUUUGAUUUUAAAAACAAUUUGGUAUAUGUUAAUUUGUAAAACUAAAAUUAGAAUAAAAAAAGAUGAUCGGUACAAAGUAGCAUAAAAACAUAAUUGAUAAAAAAAAUUAUUAUUUAUUUACUUUAACGCCAAGAUUAUUUUCUUAAUUUUUUUACGAAAUCACAUUAAUAUAUAAAAGUAUUUAUGUUAAAUUUUAUGAAUUAUUUUAUUAUAAAAUUGACUUCAAAAAUAUAAAAAGGAAACUUAAGUAGAAAAAAAUAAUAUUGAUUAUUCAUUGAAUAUUAUUUUCUGUUAUUUAAACUAUUUUCUAAUAAUUAUAAAAAAAAGAUUUUAAAAUAAAAUGUUUAUUACUUUAAAAUAUAUUAUUUUUAGAUUAUUUUCUUAAAUGGAAGAUUAUUAAUUUAAUUUAAAAUAAAAUAUUAUUUUGUAAAUUUUCCUUUUUAUGAAUCAUAUUAUAUUUAAAAUAUAUUUUCGUUUUAAAACAUUAUAAAUGUUAUACCGAAAGGAAGCCAAAGGUAAAUGAUUAUGGCGUUUAACGGCGUAGGGCGUUGGACUAGACGGCCGUCGUGGAAGAUUAUACGGUUCUUGAGACGUUCUAUGGGGACUGUUGUGGCUGAUUUGGACUCAGGCACCAUGUAACCUUCCUGUUACAAGAGAAAAGCAAGUCGUUACCAAUCAUGUAGUAAAAGAUUCCAAAGUUAUACAAUUAUAGUAAGAAAGCUCGUAAAUUACUGAAAGUUUCAGUGGUUAGGAGAAAAAGAAAGAAAGGAAUGUUGAAAUAUGGGUUCGGUCAUUAAAUGGGACCAUCCAACUUAUGUGGGGGAAGGUAGUUGGGGGUAGGUAGGAAGCAUUUAUGAAAAUCACUACUACUAUUCUAUUCUGUUAUCUACUUCUUUUUUUGUCACUGGAAACUUAUUACGUUCCUUUCUUGAAUUUCAAAUAAUAAAACUACUCAAUCUAGAUAUUUCAUGCGUGUUUUUAUUAUACAUACAUACACAUACAAAUAAUUUGGACGUAAAAAAAAGUGAAUAGAUCAUGUGAAGGCAUGUGAACACGCAACACGGCAUUAAAUAGGUCCUACUGCAUUUAUGUGUAGUUUUCAAGUACUUACUUCUUUGAUUACGAAAUGUUUCAAAGUAUCAGACGUUUAUGCACUCGAUUUUCACCUAAACCGGGGUUCUUAAAAAUUCAAGAAACUUAAACGUAUAUGUUUAUAGUACCUUGCAAAUGGACAUGAAAUCAUGAUCGGAGGUGCGGUCACCGAGGCCAAGAUCCGGUGAUUCUUCCCCGAACUCCUUCAAGAUGGCUAAUCUCUUCAAGUCUCCAACAAGAACACCUGGCUUCUUCACAAACCCUGUGGCUUUCAUCGUUUUGGGAUUCACUUCGAUCUCUGUUCCCAAAACUUUAUCUCCUCCCAAGUAAUCCUUAACGAAAGCCUCAACCAUCACUAUCGGAUUAGCAGUCACCACCACUUUCCUCUUGCAUUUAUCAAACACCUCGAAACUGUCCUUCCUCACAUCCGCCGCGUAGAACCGUGGAAGAACGGCGCGAGAGACGAGCUCGAUGUCGCGGAUUUUGAUGCCGGCGAAGGAGAUGUAGAUGAGGAUUUGGAUGCCGAGAGCUUCGGAGACGAAGAGGUAAGCGAUGAUGACGAUCGGGAGAGAUAGAAGGAGGAUCAAUCCACGGAAGAGGCUGCCUGCUUCUAUGGCGACGAGCAUGAAAUAAGGGAAGGAGCUUCGAGAGAGGAGCAUAGUCCCGUCGAGAUCUGCAGCGAUAGAAUCAUACUCUCCACUUUUACACUCGCUUAUCGGAGGAAAGCUUCUGCUCUUCUUCUUCGCCGGAGACAUCACUCUUUGAUGGUAAACAGAGAGGAUAGAGAGAGAGAGAGAGCGCUUCUUUUUGUUGUUAAUCUUGGAAAGAAAGAGAGGGAAGGGGUUCUUUCUUGUUUUAAAUGCACUGCAUUCCUUGCCGAUUUAUAUUAUCAUUCCUAUCCAAUAUAUGACAUAUUUACUAAUUUAUCCUUAAACUAUCUUUUCUAAACAAUUAUAACCCUUAUUCUUUCUCACUUUGUCAUCAUUCUCACGAAAAUAUAUAAAUUCCGCAUCACAAGAGUCAUAACAAAGUUUUGGACUAGAGUCAUCAAUCUUUUUUUGUUAUACUAUUACAUUUUAUGUCAUAAUUCAAUAUGUGAUUAAUUUUACUACAAAAAAAAAGGUUUGCAUUAGUAUGUAAAUAUAAUGAAAACUGGUGAAUAUUAUCUAUCAAUCGUGGAUCAAUAUGUGUAAUAAAUACUAUAGUUUAGGUCACGCGGUUCUCUUAGGAGUUAGGAGGACUAAAAGAAAAGCCUUAUUUAUUUUUUGUUGAUCGACAUGAAAGCAAGUAGCUUAGCAGCUCACCUACAUAGAAGGCCGUCUCAUUAGUUGAGUGACUCAUUAAUAUACUUGGCUAUGUAUAGCUUUACCAAUUAAUGUCUAUACAGCUGUGUAUCCAACUAUGUAGAUGAAAAUAACUGAUUAUAAUACAUUUUGGAUACAUACAUAUAUUGAUAGAAAGGUAUAGUUUUAAAUAAGUCAAAAUCUAGAUUAUGAGCAUGUCGACUAACCAUAUUUUGACUCUUUAGUGAGCUCGAGUCAUCUGCUAAUUUCAUCAUAAUUACAAACGUCUUGUUUUCUUGUAUAAAGGUCAAUGAUAUAUUAAUAAAAUGGUAGAUAGUUGGGAGUGGGACAGCCCUUGAAUAGUUGAAUGUAUUCAAACUUACUGAUAUAUAUAUAUAUUUUUUUUUUUUGAAAGAAUUUUAAAUUUAUUCAUCUCAAAAAAACUUUUGUACAGAGAACUGCUAUGUUUCUUUAAUAAACAGAAAAUUCAAACUUUACUCCUAUACUUAUUCUCUUCCAAACCAAACCUCCAUUGCCUUUUCAUACUUAGCUUCAUUCUUCUUUCUAAGGGAAGUUACUCUGUUUCUCACCAGCUUAUCCAUUCUUACUGAUAUAUAUCAUAUAUGCUGUUUGUAACAAUUUAUGGAUAUGUAUUAGUAUAUAUGAAUAAUUACACAUGAUGUGUUAAUAUUGAAGCAGCAACCCACCACGUGAACCUUGAAAGGAAAAAUAGACUUAAACGUAUAUAUGCGCUUGAAAAUUCACAGAAAAGUGAAUACUAAAAAGCUAUGGUAUGAAUUAUGAUGAUGAUGCGGUAGGUAAUCCACUUUGAUGUUUACCUUGUAGAAUAAAAUGGAGUUGGAAAAUUAAGAAUGCUUUACUUCCUCAGCUUCGGUUUGUUUGGCCAUCCAUCGAAACAAACAAUGACUCUCUUGACUUGCUUUCUUGAGAAAAGCCAUUUGGUCAAAUAUUGUUAAUUGUAAUGGUUCUAUGUCCCCAUGGUCAUGGUUCAGAAUAUAAUCAGUGUUAUGGUCCAAAUGAAACAUAUUUUCGAAAAUGGGUAUAGUAGCUAGCAGUUAAAGAAACUACCUUAUAAAUUAUUGAGCCCAAAAGAGGUCCAAUAAAAAAGCCUUAUCAUAAAUGGGCUAAACCCAAACCGAAGCUAAACCAUAAUAUUUACUCUCUUUUGGUGUCUUUGUUAGAUUGAAACCAAAAUCAAAGCAGACAGACCAAAUUUUAUGUCUGAAAACAUGGGGGACUCAAAUCAGAACUACGAAACCAAGCAAAUGUCAGAAGACUUGCAUUAACAAUUAAUUUAAAGCAGAUAAAUCCACAGCUAAAUAAAAUAGAGAAGCAAAACAAAUCGAUGAAACAAACAGAGAUCACCAAAUCACAAAUAUUUUCAGGCUCUGGGAAACAAAACCAAAAAAAGAAGAUAAAGCGACAAGAGUAAUCUUAAAAGAAACAAAGGAAAUCUCAGGAUCUGGUCUUGAAAGGAAUGGCUCGGAUGACAAGCUGGUGGUAGAGAGCCGCAAGAGCUGCUCCGAUGAAUGGUCCCACCCAGAAUAUCCACUGCAUGCAAGCAACACAAAACACCCACCAAAAUCAAUAAUCACUACUAACCAAGAAGGAAAAUAAAUGAUCUAAAGUAAGUUGUAUAGUGUCGAGGGAGGGACUCACGUGGUCAUCCCAAGAGUGGUCCUUGUUGUAGAUGAUUGCAGCUCCUAGACUCCGAGCUGGGUUAAUACCGGUCCCGGUGAUCGGAAUCGUCGCCAAGUGAACCAAAAACACAGCGAAUCCGAUCGGGAGUGGAGCCAAAAUCUGCAAAGUUUAAGAGUUAAUACACCAACAUUAAAAAUUUAAAACACAAACAUUUAGUCUCUCGAACUUACCGGAACGUGGGAGUCACGCGCGCUUCUCUUGGCGUCGGUGGCGGAGAAGACGGUGUAGACAAGGACGAAGGUUCCGAUGAUCUCCGCUCCGAGGCCGGAUCCUUUGGAGUAGCCGGGAGCGACGGUGUUGGCUCCGCCGCCGAGGGUUUGGUAGGGAGUAGGCUGGAAGCCUUUGACAACACCGGCGCCGCAGACGGCACCGAGGCAUUGCAUGACGAUGUAGAGGACAGCUCUGGUCAGUGAAAGUUUCCGAGCUAAGAACAGACCGAAAGUCACCGCUGGGUUUAUGUGUCCACCAGAGAUUCCGGCAGUGCAGUAGACGAGGGCAAAGAUCAUGCCACCGAAAGCCCAAGCUAUGCCUUGGAUUCCAACGGAGGCACACAUGUUUGGUGCUCUCUUCACUCCCAUCACUGUCAAUACUGUGAUGUAAAGGAAGAGGAAGGUAGCUAUGAACUCUGCUAUACCGGCUCUCCAGAACGACCACGAGCUCAGCUCCCCUGGCUCGAACAGCGGCGCUGGUGGUGGCUCCUUGUAGUCCUUGUCCGUCUGAGCCGAUGUCCCGAUGGGCUGCCUCUCUGGGAACUUGUUC